CACCAACUCCAUUAUCUUUUGCUCCCCACCAAAUCCUUCUCUCUUCUUACUCAAUAGAUCGCCAGUGGAGCUGUUUAAGAAAAUCCAAUUCGUAUAUUCCAACAGAAUGUUUACAGCAAGCUCAUGCCAACAUCAAAACCAAGUUUCACACAGAAAAAAAAAAACACCCGAAAUAACAUCUAUAAUCUCCGAGAUCUCCUUAUUCAAACAGUAUAUGCCAACAAAUUUUCACCAAGAAGAAGAAAACAGAUCAGCCAAUCAAGCACAAAUAGACAAGGUAAACACUAGGCUCAGCUCAUUCAAUCCAUUCGUUUUUCAUCCAACAAGCAUGAUCGAUUAAAGGAUACUAAGCAUACAAUGAGUAUAUUCAUAAAGAGACUUAGCAAACUCAUAUGAUCUUUAGGCAGAAAUCAGUUUAUGCUAUAUUUUCUUAUCACACGAGGCAAGCAAGGAAAUUUCUUGAUACAUUAGUAAACCACGAACUUAGUUUUAUCUCUUGCAUAAUCAAUUAUAGAAAUACCAUAAUUCAAUAGAAAAAGGGAGAGAGUGAGGCUUGAGCCGGUUCUUGAGCAGAGGACAGAUUUCAGCGGCAUCUCCUGCUGCCUCGGCGGAAAUUGCGUGACAACAGCAGCAGCGUCACGAACGAAACAACGGCGCUGAAUCGCUGAUCUUCCACAAACGGUGGAGAUGGCGGCAGAACCAUGGCGGCAGAGGCGGAAAAGAAACAAGGCUCGACUCCCCGCCUGCUUUGACAUCUGAAUCGGGACCGGAACGGAGGAAGAAGGCGGCGUGACGCAACUCGAACCCCAUCGACCCCGGAGAACAACGAAGGCGGACUCUCCCCUGCUUGCCGGAAAUCACACAGCAGCAGCGGCGGUGCUCGCCGAUUCUGGAGUGCAGCGGCACGGCGAAGUCGAAGAUUCCAGUAGCAGCAGCGGCGUACCCUUCUCGCCGGUUGCUCAGUAACGGCGGCGGAUUCAGAUUCACCGAGGGAGAUGCGACGGUAGGGCCGUUGCGGCCACUGGAUGAAAAUCAGAGGGAGGCUCAACGACGGCCUCGGCGGAAAUUGGGCACCGCGACGGAAGGAGCCGACCUCGUCGGACCUCAGAAUGGCUGAAACAGCGGCGGUGCUCGCCGGUUCCGCGGCAGUGGCAGAUCGAAGCAGCGGCGGCGCUCUCGAUUUGGGGAUCUGCUCGUACAACGGUGAAGAGGGGGUUUAGGGCGAGGAAGCGGCGCGGUCAACAGCUGAACGCCGGCCACGCCGGCAGCUGGAACGACCGGAGAAGGAAGCGGCGGCGGCGGACGCCUCGAUUGAAGGUAGAUCGAGGGAGGAGAAGGCUGAGUGUGAUUUAGGAGAGAUUAGAGAGAGAGAGGAUAAGGAGGAAGAGGCAGAUGCGGCCAUGCCGGACCUAGGCACGGCCGCACGGCGGCAGCCGACGCCGGUCGGAGCAGAGAAGGAGCUCGACUGAUUUUGAUGAAGGGCUCGAUUGAUUCUGGGAGAAUGAGCUAUCGGCUGAUUAUUGAGUGGAGAGGGUGUCGACUGUUUUGAAAUAAAAGAGAGAGAGAGAUUAAAUUGGGCCAACUGAUUUUUGGGCUUUAUUAUUUAUUUGAAUUGGGCCAACUGAUUUUUGGGCUUUAUUAUUUAUUGUAAUUGGGCUUAAUUUAAUUAAUUCAUUGGGCUUUGUUAUUUUAUUCCGAUUGGGCCUCCUAGUUAUUUUAAGUUUGGGCCUUUUUCUUUAAUUUGCUGAUGGGCUCUAAUUGUUUAAAGAUUUGGGCUAAUGUAAAGUUUAUGAUGGACUAUUAUUCCAUAUGCCCAUUUAUAUAUCAGUUGGGCCGAGUUUUAAUUAAUUUUAAGUUCAGAAUAAUUCAUUCUAUUCUUGGGCUAAUUUUAAAUUUUGGAAAUAAAUUUAUUUAGGUGGACUGCAGAUUUUAAUUGUUUUGGGCUUGUCCACUUUUAAUUUGUUUGGGCCGAAUUAUUUAAGAAAAAGUUUGGGCUUUAAUUGUUUUAAAAGAUUGGGCUUGUGUUUAGAUGGUUUUGGGCCUCUUCAUUAAUUAUUAUUUGGACCCUAUUUUAAUUGUUUUGGGCCAAAGACUUUUAAGUUGGGCUUUAAUUCUUUUAAAGCUUGAGCUGAGGUUACUUCUUUCAGAUAAGCCUUGCAGUAUCUAUUUUGAUGAAGCCUAAUUAUUUAUCAGUGGGCGAGCCGAUUCUUAUUCAGUAAAUGAGCCGCCCAGUUUAUUAAAUAUUGUUUUCGGACUUCAGACUUUAAAGCAAGCCAUUACUGUUUAUUUCAUUAAGCCACUGGUUUAUUUAAUUAAUUGACUACUCUCUUUUGAGCCUAUUAAUUAUUUGAGGUUACGCUAGUAAUGAUGCUUCUAUCGAAAAGCCGAUAAUUUCUACAAGGUCACACCUCGUUUAAAGCCGAGUUAGUCCUUUUUCAAUCAAGUACAAAUGCGAGGUUUAUUUCACGACUAGAAUAUUCCGAUGAGGAAGGAAGAAUCACAGUUUUAUUCGACCGCGCUAGACGAGAAUUAGCUAAAUCUAUUAACGAGGAUUAAUAGUAGAAUUCCCGAUUAUCGCUCAGAGUAUUAGUUCAUGCAUACCAGAUUCAUGCAUAGUUAAAUUACGCUUUCUCAUUAAUUAAGAAUUUUCCUCGAGGCAAUGUCUUAUUUUAUAUUCUCGUGAUUAAGGUCAAGCGCGAGAGUAAGAACUACACAAGGAGUUAGAGUACCUUAGCAAAACUUUGCUAUCAGGUGGGCAAUUUCUUACGCGUAAAUAAAAUGCUAUGCAAGUGUUAUGCUUUAAAAUGCAAAUUGGAUCUUCAAGUGUGGUAUGCUUUAUUAUGCUUUACGCUAAAUGAUUUACGCUUGAUUACGCUUAUUUACGCUUGAAUGCUUUACGCUGAUAAGUUUAUGCUUAUGUUUGAUGCUUGCGUCUGUUGGGGGAGGCCUCCCUCAACAGUACGAUGCCGUGUCCGUUGAGGAGGGCCUUCCUCACGGCGCGAUGCCCGUGUCCGCUGAGAGAGGCCUCUCUCGCGGCGCGAUGCCAGUAUGCCAGUAUGCCAGUGUUACAGCGUCUAUUGGGGGAGGCCUCCCUCAAUAGUACGAUGCCGUGACCGCUGAGGGAGGCCCCCUCUCACGGUGCGAUGCCCGUGUUCGUUGGGGAAGGCCUUCUCCACGACACGAUGUUUGUUAAUGAAGAUUGAUGAUGAAGAAUGCCCUUAUGCUAUUUAAGAAUUUGGAAAUGUUUAAUGAGCAAAGGAUAUGAAAGAAACUCAUGCCUCUUAUGCGAUAUUGUGAAAUUGUUAAUGAUGUUAUGUUAUAUGCUUGGCAACUGCCCACUAAGUACUCUUGUACUUAGCCCUUCGAUGUUUAUGUUUGUGCAGGUUGAGCUGUGAUGGGCGAUGAAGUGUUGUUGCUGAGUGGAGUUUUUGGUCGAACUUAAAGUAGGCUCAGAAAGGAUACAUGUCUUCAUACAUGUAUCACAGUUAUGCUUUCCGCUGUAAACAAUGAUUAUUUCAGUUACGCCUUCCGUUGCAAACUCUGAUAAUGUUUUAGCCAAGCCCCUAAUGAUGCCUUUUUUCCUUUUAAGGAAUAUAACGCGUAUACAAGUUCUUUGAGUACCCUUUUUAUGCGAACUAUGCCUUUUUCCUUUUUAAGGAAUAUUUCACGCGUAUUCAAGCUCUUUUAGUAUUCUUUUAUGCACCCCUUUCUAAACCCGCUUCUUAAUUUCCCUUCCCC
Molecule: long non-coding RNA, 3738 nt
Filed under: Salvia miltiorrhiza (redroot sage)
Lineage: Eukaryota; Viridiplantae; Streptophyta; Magnoliopsida; Lamiales; Lamiaceae
Description: long non-coding RNA (SMIL_LNC008252)
Source: RNAcentral